This 422-nucleotide ribosomal RNA is filed under the name Staphylococcus aureus. RNAcentral's name for it is "partial 23S ribosomal RNA". It matches the Rfam family "Bacterial large subunit ribosomal RNA", at positions 2503 to 2925 of the family's 2925-position model. Lineage: Bacteria; Bacillati; Bacillota; Bacilli; Caryophanales; Staphylococcaceae. The record is from RNAcentral.
CAUCGACGGGGAGGUUUGGCACCUCGAUGUCGGCUCAUCGCAUCCUGGGGCUGUAGUCGGUCCCAAGGGUUGGGCUGUUCGCCCAUUAAAGCGGUACGCGAGCUGGGUUCAGAACGUCGUGAGACAGUUCGGUCCCUAUCCGUCGUGGGCGUAGGAAAUUUGAGAGGAGCUGUCCUUAGUACGAGAGGACCGGGAUGGACAUACCUCUGGUGUACCAGUUGUCGUGCCAACGGCAUAGCUGGGUAGCUAUGUGUGGACGGGAUAAGUGCUGAAAGCAUCUAAGCAUGAAGCCCCCCUCAAGAUGAGAUUUCCCAACUUCGGUUAUAAGAUCCCUCAAAGAUGAUGAGGUUAAUAGGUUCGAGGUGGAAGCAUGGUGACAUGUGGAGCUGACGAAUACUAAUCGAUCGAAGACUUAAUCAAAA